AGAGAGCUAGAUACAACGCACAAACCAAAAUCUCCCCGACGGCGGCCGCGGCGGCAGCCGAGAUCUCUCCUCCAAGCUGAGCGAGUACGGCCGGUAGAGGAGGCAUAGAUCCCUCUUCCAUGUUGUUCCAACUCUUAACGGCUCCCUGCUGUUGUGUGGGUGGCGUCCCAGUUUGAGGCGGACCAGAUCGGAGCUCGCCGGCGACCUCCGCUCCGCUGCUCGUCGCAGCCUCCCUUCUGAAGCUCCGGGAGCGGUGCCUUCGUCGCCUCUCUCUCGCUCUCUCUCUCUCUCUCUCUCUCUCUCUCUCUCUCUCUCUCUCUCAUGCUCAAGUAUUAGCUCGCAUCCUCCUCCCUCUCGUCGGCGGCAAGCCGGUGGUGGUCUCCUCGGCUCCUUCCCGACCGGCCCGUGCGACGAGGUGGUUCACCUUUAAAUAGGUGUUAACUUUUGUUUGCUAGUAAAUUUGUGCUACAUCCCAAUUUUAUUAUCAUGUAGAUUUGUACUGCAUUUCUCUAGUUCUGUUUUCUUGUUCAUGUCGAGUGAAUGAUGCAGUUUAACAACUCCGAUUUGAUGGUGCAUUGCUAUUGUUUUAGGUGUCUUGGUACUCUCUUUGAACAUUUUGUUUCACUGAUUAGUAUUCUGGAGGAUCAAGUUGGAAGGUUGAGGAUGGUUAGAUAAUCGCGCUGGCGUGAACUUCAGGAAAAUUCAGUAAAAAUAUUAGUACCUGCAGUUCUUAUACAGAGUCAAUAGCUUGAAAAGCUGGAAAUAAAUUAGAUUGAUUCUGCUAGGAAAAAAAUGAAAUUGGUCCAUUUGUCAGCAUAAGAUUCAUGUAUACAUGAUUCACCGCUGGAAAUUGAUCCAUUUAAACAGGCAAUAGUAAGAACUGUCCUAGUAUAUAUGAAUUAUGAUUCUCAAAGAUGGUGGCAUUGAGGGUCAACAAUUUAUGCAUACAGGGCCAACAAUUAGAAGUGUCCUAGUAAAUAUUCUAAUUCAUAGACUGUUGCCCUAGGCUGCGUCCUUUAUGUGAUCCUUGUGCCCAACGUCUGAACUACAAACGAUGAUCUCAUUUUUGACUUUGCAAUUCUCAUCUCGGGACAAGUGAAAAAAAAUAUCGCAUCUGAGGAUUCAGUAAUGGAGGGGAGCAGCACUACUUCGCCAUCAGGAGAGCCCAUAGUUGCAAUGGCCACAACAUAUGCACCAAUGCUAUCAGCCAUGGAAUCGGUCAAUAGUGCUCAAAAUCAAGAUUUCAGCAAUGGUAGCUCGUUUGCAGAGAUUAAUUCCCCAAUGCUUGUCAUUACUGAUUCCAGUACACUCAAAAAGAAACAAUAGUUCUUUCAAGAGGUGCGGAACAAGUAGGCGCUAAUGUGAACAACUGAGAGUUUCAUGGUUGAAAUUACAAGAUUUGAUCUCUCCUAGCACAAGAAGCUUGACGAGCAAGAAGCACUAGAACUGGAGGCAAAAGGCUGUAGCUUUUCUAUUCUGUAACACCAUUCUAGCCAAGUUGAUGCAGUUUCUAAUGUCACUGCUUGUUGAGCUGUGAUUUAUUUUCGUCGUUCAUAGUCAGUCUUGCCCAUGA
Triticum aestivum (bread wheat) is the source of this 1573-nucleotide RNA transcript. RefSeq lists it as uncharacterized. The transcript has 4 exons. Lineage: Eukaryota; Viridiplantae; Streptophyta; Magnoliopsida; Poales; Poaceae. The record is from RefSeq and is a predicted model, not a curated record.